Molecule: unclassified non-coding RNA, 202 nt
Filed under: Glomeraceae sp.
Lineage: Eukaryota; Fungi; Glomeromycota; Glomeromycetes; Glomerales; Glomeraceae
Description: partial contains 5.8S ribosomal RNA and internal transcribed spacer 2
Rfam family: 5.8S ribosomal RNA (bases 1-71)
Source: RNAcentral
GUGAAUCAUCAAAUUUUUGAACGCAAAUUGCACUUUCUGGUAUUCCGGAAAGUAUGCCUGUUUGAGGGUCAGUCAAAUAAAAAUCGGUGUUAUUGCUUUUAAUGGUGAUGCAUCGGAAUUGAUUCGUCUUUACUUUUGGUUUUAAGUGAUUUAAAAUUAUGUACGAUUUCUGAACGUAUUUAAUUUAUUAAUUAACGCUCUU